Molecule: ribosomal RNA, 460 nt
Filed under: uncultured bacterium
Lineage: Bacteria
Description: partial 16S ribosomal RNA
Rfam family: Bacterial small subunit ribosomal RNA
Source: RNAcentral
CCUACGGGAGACAGCAGUGAGGAAUAUUGGUCAAUGGACGAGAGUCUGAACCAGCCAAGUAGCGUGAAGGAUGACUGCCCUAUGGGUUGUAAACUUCUUUUAUAUGGGAAUAAAAUGUUCCACGUGUGGGAUUUUGUAUGUACCAUAUGAAUAAGGAUCGGCUAACUCCGUGCCAGCAGCCGCAGUAAUACGGAGGAUCCGAGCGUUAUCCGGAUUUAUUGGGUUUAAAGGGAGCGUAGGUGGAUUGUUAAGGCAGUUGUGAAAGUUUGCGGCUCAACCGUAAAAUUGCAGUUGAAACUGGCAGUCGUGAGUACAGUAGAGGUGGGCGGAAUUCGUGGUGUAGCGGUGAAAUGCUUAGAUAUCACGAAGAACUCCGAUUGCGAAGGCAGCUCACUGGACUGCAACUGACACUGAGGCUCGAAAGUGUGGGUAUCAAACAGGAUUAGAUACCCUUGUAGUC